Molecule: long non-coding RNA, 309 nt
Filed under: Cricetulus griseus (Chinese hamster)
Lineage: Eukaryota; Metazoa; Chordata; Mammalia; Rodentia; Cricetidae
Description: lncRNA (ENSCGRG00000026348.1)
Source: RNAcentral
GUCUUGGAGGAGCAGAGCUUCCUGGGAAGACAGCAAGGAAAAUGUUCUAGGGGCCAGCCAGCAAGCCCAACUCAGGGAGUCCUCAGCCCCCCUUUUGAGGUAUCAAAAACAAGGGCAGCCGGGCCUGGAGGGCCCCUCAUUAGACAGAGGCGGCUGCGCUCAACCACCAGUCACAAGCAGAGAGGGCAGAGCCAACUCCACGAAUGACCAGUAUUGAAAAGAAAGCUCCAGGGGUGAGUGAGAGACACAGACUGGAAGAGUCUAAAGCAGAAGGUUAAAAAUAAAGAAAAGAGGGAAAAAAGACCACCA